UACGGGGGGGGCAAGCGUUGUUCGGAAUUACUGGGCGUAAAGGGUUCGUAGGCGGCCAACUAAGUCAUACGUGAAAUCCCUCAGCUUAACUGGGGAACUGCGUCUGAUACUGGUUGGCUUGAGUGCAGGAGAGGAACGCGGAAUUCCAGGUGUAGCGGUGAAAUGCGUAGAUAUCUGGAGGAACACCGGUGGCGAAGGCGGCGUUCUGGACUGCAACUGACGCUGAGGAACGAAAGCCAGGGGAGCAAACGGG
Molecule: ribosomal RNA, 253 nt
Filed under: uncultured bacterium
Lineage: Bacteria
Description: partial 16S ribosomal RNA
Rfam family: Bacterial small subunit ribosomal RNA
Source: RNAcentral